RNAcentral lists this long non-coding RNA (8519 nucleotides) under Triticum aestivum (bread wheat). Its description in RNAcentral is "long non-coding RNA (TAES_LNC027123)". Lineage: Eukaryota; Viridiplantae; Streptophyta; Magnoliopsida; Poales; Poaceae. The record is from RNAcentral.
UUCAAAUUAACUCCAAAUUUGAUGAUUCUAAUUUCUAUAGGUUCAUAAAUUCCUGAUCUAUCACAUGGUGCAAUUUGCACAUUUUUCCAUAAAGUUUUUCUUCACAAACAUUUAUCAAAUCCCAUAUUUCCACUUCUGUCAUAAACUUUAGGAAAUCACAGAAGGCUCAAAAUUGAUCCAAAUUCCAUGAUUCAAAUUCCUAGGUAUUCCUAAGUUCAUAACUUAGUUUAUGAACAUUUUUAUUAAUACUUUCUGUACCACAUAAAUUAUUGAGCCAUUUCUUCAUAUUUAUCAACUUUGCAAAUUCAUAGGAAAUUCAUUUGAACUGCAAAUCUAGUGAAACCAAUUCCUAGAUGCUUCUAAAAUCAUCCUUUGUUAAAUGGGUGCCUUUGCUCAUUUUUCAAAAAUAUAUUUCUGUACACUUCUUGCAAACCCAUUAAUCCCUUGAUUCCAUCAUAUUGAAAUGUUCAGAGAUGUCCAUUGAUCAAAUCCUAAUGAAACCACUUUGGUCAUCCCUCAUAUGACCAGAGGUAUCCCAGAAAAGUCCAACUCAUAUUUUUAGAGCACUUUUAUUUCCUGCCUUGUUGUGUUGCUUAUUGUGUUUGUUUCUGACGUUAGUUGACGAAGUAGACGGAGUACUUGGAGAAGGACCAGAAGACUUGAAGACCCUGAGGAACAGGCAAGCAGCCCGUUGACCAUGUCUAUGAAACCUUUUUAUGCAUGUCAUAUAGUACCUUAUCGUUGUUGCAUCGGAAUCAUGAUGAGGUGGUACCCACGUUGAUGGUUUGCCACCGUUAAUUCCUCGUUGAUACUUGCAUUGUGCAUGACCCUACCUUCUUAUGAGGGUUAUGCCGGUGGGAGUAGAUAGGAUGCUAAGGUAGUGCUACGCAAAAAGGGACGGGUAUAUGCAUGGUGAAGGAGGCAAAGUAUUUUCAAAAGACUUCUUCGAAAACCCCGUCGGGUGCCACUUAUGCCCGAGGGAGAUGAUGAAAUGGGUAACCAUUUGAUGACGAAGUGGUGUACCGAGGCAAGUGUGUGUGUUGUUUUCGAAAACGGAUUAGAUUUAAGAUUUGUCGACUGUCCCAACCUUACAUGCGCAACCACUCUACCCUUAUAUGGGAAAGGGCAUUAUUGAUUACCUAGGCCGAUACUAGCUUGGAGCCCGCAUUACUAGUGACGGGGGAGAGUUGGUGCUCUCUCUCGGGACGGGGUCGUGCCAGGUAGGGCGGCCAUGACUGUCUUUACAGCACCGGACACACCGUUGGUACCCCGUGCUUGUGGUAUGUGAUGAAUAUGGGAGCGAGGCUCCACAACUUUAUGAUGUGAAAUGUUGGGCACGGGGGUUACUACCAAUCGAGUGGACUCCAUGUUAGUGUCGUCUAGGGAAAGGUAGUGAUUGGGUGCUUACCCCGGGUACUUGAGGUAUCGCGGGUCGUGGAUGACACGGAAGUUCCCCGGAUCUUGUGGGUACAGUGUGCAACCUCUACAGAGUGUAAAACUAUUCGAAUAGCCGUGUCCAUGGUCAAGGACGGUUGGGCGGUGCUGCUUAAACUACGUCCAGAGUUUUCAACCGUGUGUGUGUGUGUGUUGAUAAAACUACUUGGGUCAAGUCAAAGGACUUGACAUAAUUGAGUUGGGUUGGUGCCCACUCUAUUUAUGUUGAUAUCUGUAACCUGUCCUCAUGGUUACUUGAAUUCUCUUGAUGCAUGCCUUACAAAGUUGUUGAACAUGUCAUUGCACUCAAAACUAGCUUUCUGCAAAAAUUUACCUAUAUCAUGCAUUGUUGUAUCUUGAACCAAAAACAUGGGUUGCUUGCGAGUACAUUCAAAGUACUCAUUGGCUUGCCGCUGGUUAUUUUAUUGGCCAGGCAUGAAAGAACAGGAUGUGAUGAAGAACACUUUGGUGACGAACAUGCGAGCUAGGACGCUUCCCAGUCAGAUGCCUGUAGGGUUAAGGCAGAUCGCAUGGGUCCAAGUUGUUGUUGAAGAUUUCCGCUGUGAUGAUACACUCCAGACUUGACCAUAAUGGUCCUACUUGUGUAAAACGGUAUGUAUGGAUGUAAGACUCUUGUUAUUCAGCUUCUGUGUGUUCAGUGAGCAUUGAUCUCUGGGAUCACUGUACACGUGCAUUCGGUGAUCUCGACUUAUGAGUCGGGGUCCCCACAGAGCUGGUAUCAGAGCCAUCCUGACUGUAGGAAGCCUUAGUUAGCAUGGACGUUAGUUAGCUUGAGACCAUCUAAACUUCUCUUCUUUUCUGAAGCAUACCCCACCCAGGAUAUAUUUUCCCUUAUUGACCUCCCCUAUUCAACUGUUGUAGAUGGCUGUCGCCCCCUUGAGACUCCUUAUGACGGGAUUUCCGUCACUCUUAAAAGACUGCCUCCAACAAUGCCACUAUCCCUUGCUGCCCAUAUACACCCUGCAUGAACUGGAAAAUGAUGUGCUCGAGAAGGAUUUCUACGCCAAGGUUUUUGUGCCUGCCAAGACCUCACCCCAGGGGUGGUUCUUCAUUGGACCACCCAUGCCAACAAAGGAUCUGGCCAUUCAGCAAGUGGCAUAUGAAGCGCUCCUCCGUCUUCGAGGCCUCCUUCCAGAAAUGAAAGAAGAACACGCCACCCGCUACCUACCAGGAAAAAACGGAUUUGGAGCCCCAGCUCAAGUGAUGAUUUCCCCAGAAGAUGAGGAUCCAACCCUCAAGUACCAAAUCCGCUUCAUCAACGCCGGAGACUACCUUCUACGUCACCUUACCGAAGCAUUCCUUAAGGCUCGCCAAGACCUCCCUUCACUUCUGCACCUCCACUGCAUCAAGAAGAUGAAGGUGGCUGAGCAAGGACAACAAAUCACUAUCUUACAAGCCCACCUUGUCAAUCAGGAGCAACAAAUCAAGGAACUUCAGAGAACCCGCAACCAAAACCCACGCAAGAAGCAUAGGAAUGGAUUUCCAUAUCCACCUCAUAGAAGAUCGUCGUCAGGCCAUCGACGACAUAACUCAAGACUGGAUAGCAACCUUUUUGCUUCCGUCACUUGUCACGGGUGUGGUGAACUUGGGCACAUUAAACGGAUGUGUCCCAACAAGUAGACGACUGUCGCCUACCCUUUGGCACCACAAGGGGAACCCAGAAACUGAAGACCGAACGCCUUUCUCUCAAGUGAUGAAGCAAGCACGACUACUGAAUCCGAGGACCCCUAGGGUAGGACGAGUCGUGUACCCCCUAUGCGCAGUCGAGUCCAUAUGAUGGUUCAAAUGAAACCAUGUUGAGUGUUGCUUGUUCCUAUCUGUUUGCGUUUUGAUAUAAGUUGCACUUUUGCCUUAGGCAGCAUGUAUGCAACUAUAUCACCUAUCUUAUCUUAAUGAAAUUGUGUGUGGUCUUUUGGCACUUGUUUGUUUGCACCUGCACUAUAGAACCCCCUUUAGGCAUCCCUCCUCUAUGCUACUUUUCCCUCUCAUCCCUCUCCUCAACCGAAGACCAGCAAGACAAGAUGCACCAAGGAAUCUGCUUCGGCGACCAACUAACACUGAAGACUUUUUGUUGCAGCCUCCUCGACCAAGUGAAACCCCGUAGAGUUAUGUUUAACCCACCAGACUAGAAACCCAUUCCUAGACCCUUCGAGACUUCAUGAGAUACCCCAGUCCUUAACCAUGUGCUUAACCCACAGAAUUUCAGGAGAACCAGUUAAGCCUCGGUAAACCUCGCACAACACUGGGUUCAUUAUGGAACUAGUGGACAUAGUGAACAAACACAUUAUCAUCCUAAUAUAGCACCAGAACUGACGAUGCCAUAAGGAAGACCAGUUUCAGGACAUAAUUGAGGACAAAUGACUUGGUGAGUUUAUAUCAGUGACCUUGAGGAAUUAUCUGAGACUUUGGUGAAUUAUGAGGUUUCCAUGUUGGUAGAUGAACUUGGUGGGAUCAUUAAUAUAGAGUAGCAUAGCUUUCAUUACCCCUGGGUAAAUUGGAUUUAUGGGACCAUUAUGAUCGCAAGCUGAAACUCCUGGAAGUGCAAGGAGUUGACUUGAUCAGAUGAUAUUGAUAGGAGAUAGUUGACAUUGUGAUAAUGACUUGGUGGAAACAUAUAGGAAUUCUCGUUGGACAUGAGAUUUGGAUUUAAGUAGCUGAUUCUAGUUGAAUAUAGAUGCUGAGUAAGUCUACAUGGUUCGGAGUAAAUUGGAUUUAGACUGAUGAUCUCGAUCAUGAUACCAUGUUUCCUGGAGGACAAUAAACUAGGAGAUUGGAUUAAUUGUUGGAGUUGAUUUAGAGUUCUAUAUAAGCUUGACCUUGGAGUUUACAUGACCAUGAUAAUGGAAAUUGGUGGACUGACUAUAGUAGGGUAGCCUUCCUAGUAUUUAUGGAUUAUAGGGUAUUAGAAGAUCGUGUGGAACACCAUAGAGAUUGGAUUUGAAGGACUACUGGGUCAUGUAAUGAUUGGUGUAGUUAAUGGGUUGUUGGAGUUGAUUCAUAGGAAGGAAACAAGAUUUUGGAGUGGCAUACGACGUGUUUCCUUAGGAUAGUGGUGCUUUAUCUUAGACCUUGGAAGAACAGGCUGAGCACUUGGGUUGUCACGUUCAAGCUUGGCGGCUUAUAUGUUCUACCCAUGGAUUUUUAGGGGUAGACAUACAUACGAGUUUGGGGAUCGUAGACAUAUAUGAUUUUGUUAGACCUCCUCUUGGGAGUCAUGAGGAUAUGAAUAGCAUGAGUAAUGAUUGGAGUUGACCUACGCAAAAUGAUGCUAUCAGUGAUGUGAUCUAGGACUAGAUAGACUAUUGGCAUCUCAGAAACCGUGCUUAAAGAUAAGAUGAUAAAUGUUCACUCGCACACUAGAAUCCAUGAAACCCUUAAGCCCUACCAAGCUACAACAUGGUCGGAUCAGGACCUUAGGGCCUUGACACUAGAACUAGAACCACCUUGGCCCACACUCAACAAGACCACCACUAAUUCCCCAGCCUACUUUAUGUACCCCGUGAACAAGCCUCCAUGGAGUGCUUAGACAAGAUAAUUGUCAUCAUCAUUUGGUGACCUACCUGUCCACCCAAAGACGGAAGAAGAGCCGUUCAGCUAGUCUAGGAACAUUUGAAGACCGCCAUGCCAAGGAGGAAGAACUACACCUACCACCAUCAUCAAGAAGUAAACAUCCGCGUUGAAGACCAGGUGUAUCUACGGGCCACUUCUCUCUAAGGAACCAAGCAUUCCCAUGACAAGGAGACCCACACCAAGAUUCAUCGACCCUCUUCGAGAUCACUCCAAGAUUUAACAACCCCCUCUGAGAUCACUCCAAGACGAAGAGUAGACGGCUACCAGCUAGAGUUACCACCUGAGUUACCCAUUGUGCACAAUGCUUUCCAUGCAUCACAACCCCGGAAAUGUUUCCAACUUCCUAACUUGCCCGAUCUCUACGAGGGCAUUGACCACCGAGCCAUCGACCUCCAGCCCAAUAUGACCACCGCAAGCAACCCCUUAGAAACCUGGAUCGAGAAGAACGUCAUACACGAAGCCACACCAGCAAGUACUUCAAGCUCAAUGGAGCACUACACGGAAGCAGAAGCAGUAUGAGGACGUGAAGACUACCCCGAAUCCAAGUUUCCAUACUCCUUCCCGCGCCUAGUCUAGGAAUCUCGGGGACGAGAUUCUUGUAAGGGGGGUAGAUCUGUCACACCCUAAUUUUCAUGGCACAACACUUAAGAUGAUAAAUCAUGAUAAAAUGUGGUUUGACAAAAACUUUUGAGUGUUUUGGACUUUGCUUGAUUUGAUUUUUGUCUGCUGUUUGCAAGUGCUCUAAAAAUCAAAUAAAUCCUCCAACUCCUAUAGUUCAUCUACUUGAUCCAAAACCUUUUCCCAAUGAUCAUGCCAUGUGUAUAGAGCAAUAUAAUAUUUUCUUACAAAAAUGAUUUGGCCAAAUAGUAUUUUCAAAAAUUAGUUUUUCAAAACCCCCUGAAUUGAGGUUUGCACUGCAAGUACUUAAUUAAGGGCAGUAAAAUCUUUCUAAAAAUAUAUUUAACUCCUAUUAGAUAUAGGGUACCCAGAAACCACAAAAAUAUAAUUUUAAAAGUUAUUUUCCUAUUUUAUUUAAAAGAUUUUUCUUAAGGCCAGAAAUGGUCUUUAAUAGGGAAAAAUUAUUUUAUUGCUUCAAAAAUAUUUGACAAAAUUUAGGGAAACUCAGUGGACAUAUAUUGUCCACAUAUAAGAGUUUCAACACAUGGUCAUGUUCAAAAUAUUGGUCAAAUACCUCAAAAACCCUUUCUGGAUAUUUCAAGCUUUUGAAAUAUUUACAAAGGAAAUAUUCUCCAAAAAUUCCAAGAAAAUUCUAGCAUGUCACAUAUGACAUAUUAGACGAUCUUGCCAAGUCUCAUGACUUGGAGACCAAUAUAACAUCAUCCAAUCCCCUCAAAACCAUUUCUGUCCAUUUUGGAGUUUGAGCAACUUUACAUUGCCAAACAUGUCCAAAUGCUCUCAAAUCUUGUGAACAUGCUCAAAUGGUCUAAUCAUUCAUCUAGACCAAAUGUCACAAGUUGGAGAACAAGUUAACUUGAUCAAAGUGCCCCAAAACCCUUCCUGUCCAAAACCAAAUUUGGACAACUCUACAUUGUCAAGUGUGUCCUUUUGAUCUGAAUUUUUGUGGACAUGGUCAAAUCCUCAAAUGAUGAUACUACACCAAGUGGUGCAUCAAGGAGAAUAGAUUUGCACGACUAAAUCUUGGCAAAGCCAUUUCUGCUGAUUUCUAGGGUUUACCAAAGUUGCAUUGGCUACUUUGCCCAAAUGAGCUCAAACUUGGUGGAACACCCUACUUUCAUGUGCCAUUCCAUCCUGUUAAUUCCCAUGGCAAUUGGAAUUAAUUUUCUUGCCCAAACCAACAACAAACACCUUUUGCCAUUUUUCCAAAAUCAUCAUUUUUACCACUUCCACUCUUCUCCAUGACCUCAACUUUUUACCACAGCCCCUCAGAGCCCCCUUUCACCUCCAGUAACAAUGGUUGUACCUCAGCUCAAUGAUUGAGGGGUGAAACCACCUCAUUUACCCCACUGGACAGCCCCUUUCCCUCUCUUCCUCACCUACCUCCUCCCUCCAGUGACCAACCAGGGCAUCCAAUGCCCCUCCCCAUUUGUUUACUUCCCCCUAGAGCCCCCAGACACUAGAGGCCAAGCCCAGAGCGCUGGAAAAAUGGCCAUGCCAGCCAUAUGCACGCUCUGGAGCGCGCUACAGUGCGCUCCCGCACUGUAGCCGCCCCCUGCCAAGCACCUCAGGCCACCUCGGGCCUUCCUAGCGUGCCCGACGAGACGCCUCGGCGUCCGGGACAGGGCACGCUGCCGGCCCCCUCCCGAAUCUCUCUCCUCUCCCCUCUAUGAGCUCACCCGAGCGCGUCCAUGGGCGCUGUCCACGGUGCACCGCGGCCGUGCCCAUAAAAACCCCUCCUGACCUCUUCUAUGGCCUCUCCCCGCUCCCCUCUCUCGCUUACACUUCCCUAACAACCUCCCUCUCCCUCUCGCGCCCUCUUCCCACCUCCAUGACCGGAGUGCCGCCGCCGUGCCCUCGGGCGUAGCCGAGCCAUCCUUGCUUUCCUGCUCCCACUGACCCAUCCCGAGGACUCCCACGACCCCAAGAAGCCUCUCCCGCACGCUAGGACCUCCUCCCCAUGCCUGCCUCGUCGUGCCCAUCCAAGCCGUCGCUGGUCUCCGCCAUGGCCGACGCUUCACCCAAGUCUGGCACUCCCCGCGUCCAGCGCGACCACCUCUGGGCGCGACGUGGGACGGGGCAUCCGCCCAGACCACCGGCCUGGCCCCGGGCGCAGCGGAGCGGCCGGAAUCGUCGCCGGCGCACUCGCCGUCUGCCCCAUGCCUCUGCCCAUCAGGGGGAAGAAGGAGGAGGCGGGAGAGAGAGAGAGUUGGUGCGGGACCCGCAGGUCAGCGACCCAGCAGGCGGGCCCCGCCCGUUUAAGUGGAGACGGACCGGGUGAAAAGCCGCUUCCUGCGCAGCGAAGGCGUACUCUGUCAGGGGCGCCUCCGACGUCACCCUCCUCGCCCGCGUGGCUGAGCCAGCGGGCCGGCCCACCUCUAUCCUGCGCCCUGUGCAUGCUUUGGGUAAACCCUAAACCUUUUCCCUUUUUCUUUUUUCCAGUUAACCUCAAAAAUUCAUAGACAAUUCAAAUUAACUCCAAAUUUGAUGAUUCUAAUUUCUAUAGGUUCAUAAAUUCCUGAUCUAUCACAUGGUGCAAUUUGCACAUUUUUCCAUAAAGUUUUUCUUCACAAACAUUUAUCAAAUCCCAUAUUUCCACUUCUGUCAUAAACUUUAGGAAAUCACAGAAGGCUCAAAAUUGAUCCAAAUUCCAUGAUUCAAAUUCCUAGGUAUUCCUAAGUUCAUAACUUAGUUUAUGAACAUUUUUAUUAAUACUUUCUGUACCACAUAAAUUAUUGAGCCAUUUCUUCAUAUUUAUCAACUUUGCAAAUUCAUAGGAAAUUCAUUUGAACUCCAAAUCUAGUGAAACCAAUUCCUAGAUGCUUCUAAAAUCAUCCUUUGUUAAAUGGGUGCCUUUG